AGUCUGCAUCUGGUGAGUAAUGUGGGUGUAAGGAAUCGACACCCUUGCGUCUAAUCCAGACAUCUCUAAAAGACCACCCCGGUUUCAAUGCUCCUCAUGAGACCAGAUGAAGCCAUCAUUAUUAACUCCUUAAUUUGUCCAAUACUGCUUCACUUAUUUCCUCAUGGGGUUGCCUCUGAGAGCAAGCCCCGGUAAACUUCUUCCUUAUACAUCUUAAUCUCAAAGUCUGAUUCCUAGAAACCCAAGAGAUUUUGAUUUGAAUUUAAAUAACAGGCGGAGUUUGAAAGAAUAAAGAGAUGGAGGGAACGCAUCAUAACCUGGUAUGACCUGGAUCAACAUAAACAAAGGGGUUUAGAUAGCUCAUGGUUCUGCUGGUUAGGAAGUUCAAGCGCAAGGCCCUGACUUCUGAUUUCAUCAGAAUGGUCUUUCCUAUCAGCAUAUUGGUCACAAUUAUAUAACAAAUCUCUAAGAAGCUCCAAAGUUUUCUUCACCUUUGUACUUUCUUCUGAGUUCUUGCCAGAACCACCCUUAAUUCUUCAUUCAUGCACAGAAAGUCAAGCUGUUAGAGAAACUGAAUAGCAGUAUAGGCGUGAAACAUCUUACACAAGAGUAUAUUGUUGGAAUGGCUACCAUAUAUAUGAAAUAAAGAAUCAGAAGGAUAAACGGUUAAAGUUCUAUGCCAAAAGUGAUAAACAGAAAUUAAUGAAUAGUAUUCAUUUCUGCAUAAAGCUAGAAAUGAAGAUUUUGAUUGUGUAUUGAAUGAGUGGAUUUGUCAGCAUUCCAAUGAACACAUGACACUUAAUGGUGGACUCACCAGGAAACAAGCAAAGAUCUAUCACAAUGAACUGAAAAUUGAAGGAAACUGAAUAUUCAACAGGCUUGUUGCAGAAAUUUGGGAAAGAUGUGACAUUAAUUUUUUAAAAAAUUGGUGGUGGUAAAGCAUCUGCUGAUUACAAAGCAGUGUAGAAAUUCAUUGAUAAAUUUCCCAAACUCAUUACUGAUGAAAAUCUGACACCAGAACAAGUCUGUAAGGCUGAUGAAAUGUUACUGUUUUGGCAUUAGUGCCCAGAAAGACACUGACUACAACUGAUGACACAGCCCCUAUAAGAAUUAAGGAUUCCAAGGACAAAAUAACUGUGGUAGGAUGUGCUAUUGCGGGUGGCUUGCAUAUGUGUAAACUUUCUGUGAUAGACAAAGGCUGGUACUCUUUCUGUUUUCAACUACUGAAUUUCUUACCAGUCCAUUAUGAUACUAACAAAAAGAUAUGAAUUACCAGGAACAUCUUUUCUAACUGGUUUCAUAAAUAUUUUGUGCCAGUGGCUUGUGCUCACAGCAGGGAAGCUGAAAUGACUGAGAAGUGGAAGAUUUUGCUAUUCCCUGACAACUGUUGUAUUCAUCUUCCAGUGAAAUUUUCAUCAAAAAUAAUGUUUAUGCUGGUACUUCUCCAGACAAUGUGACUUCGGUCAUUCAACCAUGUGACCAGGGUAUCCUUAGAUCCAUGAAGAGAAAUAGAACAUGCUACCAGCAGUGAACAGAAGCAAGGGUGUGGAAGAUUUUCAAAAGGAGUUUAGCAUGAAGCAUACUAUUGUCAACACAUGGAACACAGUUGACUAAAGAUAUAUUUACUCGUGCCUAUCACAACCUCUGGCCUAUGUCUAUGUCCAGUGAUGAUGAUGAACAAGGUGGUGAUUUGAAGGAUUCUGCUUGUCAAGUGAGGAAAAAAAAUGAGGUCUGACCUUUUUUCAUAUGUGAAUGUAUACCUUCAUAAUCUGCCAGUAAGCUGGAAGAAAUGUAUAUUGAAUAAUUUUUUAACAUUGAUAAUGAAGUUUCAGUUGUUCAUUUAUUGACCAAUGGUGAAAUAGCCAAAAUGGUUCUGAAUCAAAGUGACCCUGAUGAGAGUGACGAUGAAGAUAAAAACUGCCUAUGGACUACAUGGUGAAAAUGUGUAAUGGGCUUAUUGCAGGACUAAAGCAGCAUCCAGUCAUAAAAGAACAAGGCAUACAGCAACUUAUAAAAUCAAAGAGAGACUUCUAAGACAGAAACUGCUGUUAAUGAGGCAGAUGACUCUGGAAGAAACAUUUUAAAAAAGCCACCCAGCAGAAUGCCUCCUCAUCCCUAGAGAUUUCACCUCCUGGUCCCUCAACUACUCCUGAUGUUGCUUCUCACCAGAAAACACACACAAACAAACAAAAACAAGACAGUAUACAGUAAUCUUUUAAUCAAAUAACAAUGUUGCAGCUGGAGACUGAAAGCUACCAUUGUUUGUUUGUUGCUGUUGUUUAACAGCUGAUAUGCUAUUCUGGUGAUUUUACUGUGUGU
This 2319-nucleotide long non-coding RNA is filed under the name Homo sapiens (human). Its description in RNAcentral is "HSALNT0328713". Lineage: Eukaryota; Metazoa; Chordata; Mammalia; Primates; Hominidae. The record is from RNAcentral.